GCUCUUUACAGGACUUAUUUUUUUUUAAGAGAGAAAGAGGUAUUAUAUAAUACUGAUGUAAUAGAAUGCAGUUGGAGUUCCAGCAUGCAAUAGAGUAACUAUGGUAUUCUUGAAAAGGCAGAUUCUCAGUUAAAAUCUUCCCAUUUUAGAAAAACAAGGAGGCUCAAAUUAUGUUACGUUGAUAUCUGUAGAUUGCUCAGUAUUGUCCAGGACCGUGGGAGUGCAUGAGCAAGAAUACGGGGGGGCUCUGGUUCCACAUCCUUGUUUUACAAGUAAGGAAACUGAGGCACAGAGACAUUCCCUGCUCAAGGUUCAUAGCUGCUCAGUCCAGGUCCUCAUAGCUGCUCAGUCAGGUCCUCAUAGCUGCUCAGUCCAGGUCCUCAUAGCUCAGUCCAGGUGCUCAUAGCUGCUCAGUCCAGGUCCUCAUAGCUGCUCAGUCCAGGUCCUCAUAGCUCAGUCCAGGUCCUCAUAGCUGCUCAGUCCAGGUCCUCAUAGCUGUUCAGUCCAGGUCCUCAUAGCUGUUUAGUCCAGGUCCUCAUAGCUGUCAGUCCAGGUCCUCAUAGCUGUCAGUCCGGGUGCUCAUAGCUGUCAGUCCAGGUCCUCUGCCUCCAGUAUGCAGAACUCUGCACACGGGAGGAGGAAGCUUCUGUCUGCGGCUCUCAGCUUCCUCUUCAUCCGUGAAGGGAGCAGUCGGCGAGUGUGAGUGGGUGUCCAGGCUGCCUCCUGGGGCCUCAUGCUGUUUAAAAAACAUCCACC
Molecule: long non-coding RNA, 756 nt
Filed under: Pan troglodytes (chimpanzee)
Lineage: Eukaryota; Metazoa; Chordata; Mammalia; Primates; Hominidae
Description: lncRNA (ENSPTRG00000053604.1)
Source: RNAcentral